RNAcentral lists this long non-coding RNA (391 nucleotides) under Trifolium pratense (red clover). Its description in RNAcentral is "long non-coding RNA (TPRA_LNC010841)". The record is from RNAcentral. Lineage: Eukaryota; Viridiplantae; Streptophyta; Magnoliopsida; Fabales; Fabaceae.
AUGUGUUAUCUGGUGUAUUGCUUAUGGAGGCAUGUGUGUGAGUUAGUAAUACGUGAUAGGUUGAAUAUAGGUGCGUUUCUAUAUUCGUAUGUAUGUGAUUAUGUUUACUAACUCUCUACCUAUUUGUUAUGUGCUGGACCUUUGGGGGUUCAGGUAUUCAGGUCGUGGUUUCGAUCGAGCUUUAGCUGUAGAUCGUUUUGGGUGUGGAGCACAAUUGUGAGGAGCUAGUGUAGGCUACCUUUGUAUAGUUUUGUUAAGUUAGUUUGGUUGUGAUGUAUAUUAGUGCUCUGGUAUGUUGUAACAUCGAGUCGGGGAUCGUUUGUAUUCCGUCGUAUAUCGAUGUGAACAUCUUAACUUAUGUUUUAUGUGGAUGAAUUAUCUUUUGAACUAU